GACGAACGCUGGCGGCGUGCUUAACACAUGCACGUCGAACGGAAAGGCCCUGCUUUUGUGGGGUGCUCGAGUGGCGAACGGGUGAGUAACACGUGAGUAACCUGCCCUUGACUUUGGGAUAACUUCAGGAAACUGGGGCUAAUACCGGAUAGGAGCUCCUGCUGCAUGGUGGGGGUUGGAAAGUUUCGGCGGUUGGGGAUGGACUCGCGGCUUAUCAGCCUGUUGGUGGGGUAGUGGCUUACCAAGGCUUUGACGGGUAUCCGGCCUGAGAGGGUGACCGGCCACAUGGGGACUGAGCUACGGCCCAGACUCCUACGGGCGGCAGCAGUGGGGAAUAUUGCCCGAUGGGCGGAAGCCUGAUGCAGCAACGCCGCGUGCGGGAUGACGGCCUUCGGGUUGUAAACCGCUUUCGCCUGUGACGAAGCGUGAGUGACGGUAAUGGGUAAAGAAGCACCGGCUAACUACGUG
This 468-nucleotide ribosomal RNA is filed under the name uncultured bacterium. Its description in RNAcentral is "partial 16S ribosomal RNA". It matches the Rfam family "Bacterial small subunit ribosomal RNA", at positions 28 to 507 of the family's 1533-position model. The record is from RNAcentral.